This 375-nucleotide ribosomal RNA is filed under the name uncultured bacterium. RNAcentral's name for it is "bacterial SSU rRNA". It matches the Rfam family "Bacterial small subunit ribosomal RNA", at positions 524 to 898 of the family's 1533-position model. The record is from RNAcentral.
UACGUAGGUGGCAAGCGUUGUCCGGAAUUAUUGGGCGUAAAGCGCGCGCAGGCGGUUUCAUAAGUCUGUCUUAAAAGUGCGGGGCUUAACCCCGUGAGGGGAUGGAAACUAUGGAACUGGAGUAUCGGAGAGGAAAGCGGAAUUCCUAGUGUAGCGGUGAAAUGCGUAGAUAUUAGGAAGAACACCAGUGGCGAAGGCGGCUUUCUGGACGACAACUGACGCUGAGGCGCGAAAGCCAGGGGAGCGAACGGGAUUAGAUACCCCGGUAGUCCUGGCCGUAAACGAUGGGUACUAGGUGUAGGAGGUAUCGACCCCUUCUGUGCCGGAGUUAACGCAAUAAGUACCCCGCCUGGGGAGUACGGUCGCAAGGCUGAA